RNAcentral lists this ribosomal RNA (130 nucleotides) under Lonchocarpus benthamianus. RNAcentral's name for it is "partial 18S ribosomal RNA". It matches the Rfam family "Eukaryotic small subunit ribosomal RNA", at positions 1706 to 1831 of the family's 1831-position model. Lineage: Eukaryota; Viridiplantae; Streptophyta; Magnoliopsida; Fabales; Fabaceae. The record is from RNAcentral.
GUGUUCGGAUCGCGGCGAAGUGGGCGGUUCGCUGCCCGCGACGUUGUGAGAAGUCCACUGAACCUUAUCAUUUAGAGGAAGGAGAAGUCGUAACAAGGUUUCCGUAGGUGAACCUGCGGAAGGAUCAUUG